Molecule: ribosomal RNA, 774 nt
Filed under: uncultured Neocallimastigales
Lineage: Eukaryota; Fungi; Neocallimastigomycota; Neocallimastigomycetes; Neocallimastigales
Description: partial large subunit ribosomal RNA
Rfam family: Eukaryotic large subunit ribosomal RNA
Source: RNAcentral
UACUAGAGUAGCACUUGCAUAUCAAUAAGCGGAGGAAAAGAAACUAACAAGGAUUCCCCUAGUAACGGCGAAUGAAGCGGGAAGAGCUCAAAUUUGAAAUCUUAAAGGGUUUCCCUUUACGAAUUGUAGUUUAAAGAAGUGUUUUCUGUUGAGGUUUUGGUAAAAGUUCUUUGGAAUAGGACAUCAUAGAGGGUGAGAAUCCCGUAUUUGACCUUUACUUUCAACUUUGUGAUACACUUUCAAAGAGUCGGAUUGUUUGGGAAUGCAGUCCAAAAUGGGUGGUAAAUUUCAUCUAAAGCUAAAUAUUGACGAGAGACCGAUAGCGAACAAGUACCGUGAGGGAAAGAUGAAAAGAACUUUGAAAAGAGAGUUAAACAGUACGUGAAAUUGUCAAAAGGGAAGCGUUUGACACCAGUGUUGUUUUUCUGAAAAUCAAUUAAAGAACUGUUUAUGCUAAGCUGUUUAGACUUUAUCAGCUAUCUGUUUAGUUUUAGGCUUUUCUUUAAUGCACUUUUCAGUUAACAAGUCAACAUCAAUUUCUUUUGCUGUAAAAAAGCUUGAGGAAGGUGGCUUGAGAUUCGUCUUAAGUGUUUAUAGCCUCUUGCCUAUGCAGUCGGAGAGAUUGAGGUCUGCAGCGUAGAUCCUUCGGGGCUAAAUGCAUUUGUGCUAAGUUAUAGCAUUUUAUAGACAACUUGUUGACUAUGAUUUGUCUUGUAGCUUACUCGCUUAUGUUAUUUUACCUACGCUUAGGAUGUUGAGCGCAUGUCUCUCUCU